Molecule: ribosomal RNA, 597 nt
Filed under: Malassezia pachydermatis
Lineage: Eukaryota; Fungi; Basidiomycota; Malasseziomycetes; Malasseziales; Malasseziaceae
Description: partial large subunit ribosomal RNA
Rfam family: Eukaryotic large subunit ribosomal RNA
Source: RNAcentral
AAACUAACAAGGAUUCCCCUAGUAACGGCGAGCGAAGCGGGAAGAGCUCAAAUUUGAAAGCUGGCACCUUCGGUGUCCGCGUUGUAAUCUCGAGACGUGUUUUCCGUGUGGCGCUAUGGACAAGUCCCUUGGAACAGGGCAUCGUAGAGGGUGAAAAUCCCGUACUUGCCAUGGCUGUACCAUGCUUUGUGAUACACGCUCUAAGAGUCGAGUUGUUUGGGAUUGCAGCUCAAAAUGGGUGGUAGACUCCAUCUAAAGCUAAAUAUCGGGGAGAGACCGAUAGCGAACAAGUACCGUGAGGGAAAGAUGAAAAGCACUUUGGAAAGAGAGUUAAAAGUACGUGAAAUUGUCGAAAGGGAAGCGCUUGAAGUCAGCCAUGCUGCUUGAGACUCAGCCUUGCUUUUGCUUGGUGUAUUUCUCGGUAGCAAGCCAGCAUUGGUUCGAGUCGUCGGAGAAGGGUAUGAGAAAUGUGGCAUCCUCGGAUGUGUUAUAGACUUGUACUGGAUACGACGAUUUGGAUCAAGGAACGCAGUGUGCCUCUGGCGGGUCUUCGGACACCUUCACACUUAGGAUGCUGGCGUAAUGGCUUUAAGCGGC